AAAACGUGCGCGUGAGGUGGCCAGAGCGCAUGCGCAAGAGUGUGGGGGAAACGGGAGGGGCAGCCUCCAUCUUCCGGGGGGGAGGGGCAGCGAGGCGCGGCCUGGCGCGCGAGUGCGCGCGCCGGCGGGCACGUGGGGCCUUUUCGUCCCUGGCGUCCGGGCGCCCCGCGCCACCCCCAACCCUUUCCUAGGCCCGGCCGCGGCGGUGGCGGCGGCUGAGGAGAAAGUGCCAAAGCGGUCUCCUGCCGCCGGCGAAGCACCGGUUGUGGUGUUUUGGUGAAGCGUUAGAAACACGGGCCUAAAAAGAAUGGCGCCAUUUAUAUAAUGCUUUGUUUGCACUUUGCCGGUCUCUUGGCUCAGCCCCGAGGAGCCCCCCUCCCCCAUCCCUUGCCCUUGUGUCGUGCUUGGUGCGGCAAUGUCGCGCAUUUGGAACAAUGACGUGCUGCUGUACCCGCCUAACUCAAGGGAAGACACUUUAGGUCCUAGAGAGAUGAAGUGAUUGGUUCAAGGUCACACAGUAUCUGGGAUGGAAUCCAGACCUCCUGAUUUCCAUACUGACCCAUACCACCCACUUUAUGGACAAAGCCAUCAAGAUAUGGAAUGAAAGAACGGAUUAAAUAAAAUUAAGUUGCCCUACCCCAGGAACCUCACACAUGACUCUUCUCAUUCAAGCAACCACAGAUAAUCUAGCUUAGUGAGUGGAGAAUGGUGGCUUGGAAUCAGAUUUGAUCAUUUUCACAGCUGGAUUGCCAAGCCUGUAGAAUGUAAGCCUCAUGCUGCUGGGAGCCAUCUUGCUGCCCCGAGAAUGCUGUCUGAGAACAAAGCCAACAUGGGUGAAAUCUGAGUUGUGAGAUGGAGAAAGCUGGAGAUGAGAUGAAGUUUUUUUGAGUAACCUGUAUUUAACCAUGCCUUAAGCUAGUGUAACCCUGGACAUCUCCUUUACAUGAGCCUAGAUCUUUGUCUCCUCCUUCACGUUUAUUCCACUUCAUGAAGAUUUGGAUUUUUGUCAUUUGUAGCCAGAAAUGUUUUAACUAAUUCAUUCCAUAAAUUGUAUAUAGUUCUCAUUAGAGUAUAUUUCAAUUUUCUUUUUUACUAGAUCCUUUGGUGUUAAAAUGCUAAAUUUGAAUUAAGUUUGUUAUAAAAAACCAGAUUAAGACCUAAUUUGUUUAGAGCA
This is a long non-coding RNA of Perognathus longimembris pacificus (Pacific pocket mouse), 1174 nucleotides long. RefSeq lists it as uncharacterized. The record is from RefSeq and is a predicted model, not a curated record. NCBI's taxonomy places the organism in Eukaryota, Metazoa, Chordata, Mammalia, Rodentia, Heteromyidae. The transcript is spliced from 5 exons.